Biomphalaria glabrata is the source of this 2592-nucleotide long non-coding RNA. RefSeq lists it as uncharacterized. The record is from RefSeq and is a predicted model, not a curated record. NCBI's taxonomy places the organism in Eukaryota, Metazoa, Mollusca, Gastropoda, Planorbidae. The transcript has 3 exons.
GUAGUCCUGAGUGUAUUGUCAUAGUCUAGUAAUCACGAGAUAGCUUCGUCCCAAUCGAUCAAUUCAAAUGUAUUGUCUAUUGAUUUUUUUUCUUAGGCAUGUCGUUCUGGUACGUUCUGUUAGCUAAAAAAAACGUCAUUACCAUAAAUAUUUCCUGGUGGAGAUGUUUGAAAUAUUUCUUUAUUGUUAGGCCUAUUCUUUUUAAUAUAUGUUAUUCGUGUAGUGAUUUUAAUGGUAUCAAUUGACUAUUCAAGGAACCAACGGCAAAGUAUUCAAUUACCCUAUUUUGAAUACAUCAGCAUAUAAAGAUCUAAAGUCACAGACUAUUCAAGGAGAGGUUUUGUGUUUCCGGUAUUUAUAUUACAUAAAAAAUAAUAUCUCCUGUUUUUAUCUAAUUUAAAAACAAAAUACAAAAUUAACAUGAAGAAAGGAUAUUUUAAUUUGGAAAGUUUCAUUGUUGAAAGUGGUCAAGAUCUAUUGAAAUUCACACAGGAUAAUAUUUCAGAAUCUUCCAAAAAAAAUGGAGAUUGUUGUUUUAGCUUUAUGAUGAAUACUAACUCUGCAAAGAUGCCUUUGCUAAAAAAUUCUUGAGUAUAGAGGUAUUUGUGACUAGAAUUAAUAACUAUCAGGCUGAUUCAUAUUGCACAUUGGUUGUAGACAUUCUCCAACUGAAGAAGAACAAGAUAAGUAAGAGUGUGUUUAGAUUCUAGCCCAAACCUCCUCCUGGGACGCCAGGGGCAAGGCGACGAGCAGUGUUCAAUCCAGGGAUCAUCAAGACAAUACUCUGGGGUAGAUAUUCUACGUCCGUUCUAUGUCUAGUGAUUCUUCAAUUCACUUGGAAAACACACAGAGCAAUGAAUUGUGAGAUCCACAGAUUGAGGACAUUUUUAAAUUACCCCAGUGACUUUCUCCAAUCAGCAUCUCUGCUAGCGAGCGAUGGCUUUCUGUAUGCUGGUGACGGAAAUAAUAACGCAGUGAUCUGUUUCUUUUGUAAAAAAGUUCUGAUAAACUGGCCGCAGGGUGCUGACAUUCAGGAUGUUCAUUACUUCAUGUCACCAGACUGCCCCAUGGUCACUGGGCAUCCAUGUGAGAAUAUAGCAUGGCCAGCCAGGCCAGUUCAAGAAUCAGACAUAAACGCUACUGAUAUAGCACUUGCUUAUUAUUCCAGUAUGGGAAUCAAUUUGAAAGCACCUAAACCUCGAAAAAUUGUAUUACCAGCUCAUGACAAGUGAUUUGUAAUGGAUGGUCUCAUAAAAUGAAGGCGAAUCCAUAAAGAGCAUGAUUCCUUUUGCCAUUUUCAGUGUACAAUAGAAUACUUAUAUUGUAACAAUCUAUUCAUAUUGUAAACCAUAUAAUAGUUUUAGUAGCUUCAUUUUGCGUUGUAGAGUCAAAUUAAAAGUCAAAAUUUAUAUUAAGAGUAAAUUACUGUGAAUAAAUGAAUGUGUUAAAUUUCUAAUAUGAAAAAUAAUUGUGAAAAUGUAUUAAAUCUAUGUUUACAGUAAUUUGUACAAAACCAAAAUUUAUAUUUCUUAAGGUUAUUCACUAAUUACUUAUCUCCACCUGAACAUUGUGCUUGUUAGGCGGACUAGAGUAAUGUUUCAAAUUUUAAUUUCCAUGAAUAUAUAAUAAAUUUAAAAUGAAUAAAAGAAUCCAGUUCAUUUUGAAAUAAAGUAAUUAUUAAACACAAAGGCGGUUGAUCGUUGUGCUGGAACCUUAACAUUCUCGUUAACCGUCAUCCAUAGAAACAGUUGAACUUUACUCGUAUGUGACCUUAGAUCGCAAAGUAUGAAAUAAGUACACUUUUUAAACCCCCUUUAUCUAAUUAGUUUAAAAUGUAUAUUUUUUUUAAUUAUUUUUUUUUGCGAAAGAAAUUUCACAUAUACUAUAAUGUAUAGCUGCACAAUAGUUUGAUUUUUAAAGUUUAUUAAUUUGAAAGUGUAAAUGUAUUUCUGCAUCUACUCUUAGAUAAAAUACAUUUAUUCAAGGUUGUGAUGGUAGCUCAUUAGCUUGGCUGGUUCAAUCAUUUGUGCAUUCUAGACCAAUCUAAAAUAUACCUAGAUAUGAUUACAACUCGUCUUACAUAACUGAUGGAGGAUGUUCUUAUUAUUAUAUUAAUAAAUCCGAAAAAAUAAUUGUUUUUAAUCGGAGACUAAAUAUCAAUGACCGCAACAAUUAUUCUUUUCCGGGUUAAUGCAACAUUCUCUUCCUGGAAAAACAAACAUUCUUUUCCUGGUUAAACAAUCAUUCUCUUCUGGGUUAAACAAACAUUCUCUUCCGGGUAAAAUAAACAUUCUCUUCCGGGUUAAACAUGGCGAUUUUCUAAAGUAUUAAUAAAAUUAUUAUUGAUAAUAUUGAUAUUGUUAUGUAACUAAAAAGAUAUAUAUUAUGAUUUAUUAUUUGAAUUUGUUUUACAUUACGCUUCGAUUUAUUUACUAAACAUAUUCUAAUGCGAUCAUUUAUUGCGCUUUUAAAUAUAAUCAUCUGCAUAAUGUUGUACUGCAUAGACUGAUUACUUUUUAGUGUAGGUAAUAGUUGCUAUUUGGUAUCUGAAUAUAAAUCUUGCAUUCAAUUUAAUAAAUAAUUUUUUUCUGA